GAUGAACGCUAGCUACAGGCUUAACACAUGCAAGUCGAGGGGCAGCAGGGAUUUAGCUUGCUAAAUCCGCUGGCGACCGGCGCACGGGUGCGUAACGCGUAUCCAACUUUCCCGUUACUCAGGGAUAGCCUUCCGAAAGGGAGAUUAAUACCUGAUGGUGUUUGAGAUUCGCAUGCUCUUCAAACUAAAGAUUUAUCGGUAACGGAUAGGGAUGCGUGACAUUAGAUAGUAGGCGGGGUAACGGCCCACCUAGUCUACGAUGUCUAGGGGUUCUGAGAGGAAGGUCCCCCACACUGGAACUGAGACACGGUCCAGACUCCUACGGGAGGCAGCAGUGAGGAAUAUUGGUCAAUGGUCGAGAGACUGAACCAGCCAUGCCGCGUGAAGGUCACGGCCCUAUGGGUCUUAAACUUCUUUGCAAGGGAGCAAUAAGUCCCACGUGUGGGAUGAUGAGAGUACCUUGCGAAUAAGCAUCGGCUAACUCCGUGCCAG
RNAcentral lists this ribosomal RNA (492 nucleotides) under uncultured bacterium. Its description in RNAcentral is "bacterial SSU rRNA". It matches the Rfam family "Bacterial small subunit ribosomal RNA", at positions 28 to 511 of the family's 1533-position model. The record is from RNAcentral.